CCUACGGGUGGCUGCAGUGAGGAAUAUUGGUCAAUGGCCGGAAGGCUGAACCAGCCAUGCCGCGUGAAGGUCAGUGCCCUAUGGGCGUUACACUUCUUUUGUGCGGGAGCAAUAAUGGUCACGUGUGGCCAGACGAGAGUACCGUACGAAUAAGCAACGGCUAACUCCGUGCCAGCAGCAGCGGUAAUACGGGGGAUGCAGGCGUUAUCGGGAUUUAUUGGGUUUAAAGGGUGCUUAGGCUGGGAGGUAAGUCAGCGGUGAAAUGCCCCCUCUCAACGGUGUGAAGUGCCAUUGAUACUGCCUGGCUGGAAUGCGAAUGCCGUGGGAGGAAUGUGUGGUGUAGCGGUGAAAUGCAUAGAUAUCACACAGAACACCGAGUGCGAAGGCAGCUCACGAAGCCGCGAUUGACGCUGAUGCACGAAAGCGUGGGUAUCAAACAGGAUUAGAUACCCCUGUAGUC
This 460-nucleotide ribosomal RNA is filed under the name uncultured bacterium. RNAcentral describes it as "partial 16S ribosomal RNA". It matches the Rfam family "Bacterial small subunit ribosomal RNA", at positions 338 to 795 of the family's 1533-position model. The record is from RNAcentral.